This is a long non-coding RNA of Panicum virgatum (switchgrass), 343 nucleotides long. RefSeq lists it as uncharacterized. The record is from RefSeq and is a predicted model, not a curated record. The transcript has 2 exons. NCBI's taxonomy places the organism in Eukaryota, Viridiplantae, Streptophyta, Magnoliopsida, Poales, Poaceae.
AUAUGCAGGUGCAGGCAGCGCCAGACGAUUGAGCUUCCACGGCCAGCAACAGAGCUUUCAGUUCCCGACCUUUCUUCGCUACAGCGCAUCUCACCGGAAACGCGGCGAUCAGAUCGGCGACCGGCUGCUUCGUCUCAAAGACGAUCCGCAGUUCGAGGAGCAGCAGCAAGAUCAAGACUUCGGAGGACCAGACCAGCAGCAGUUUGAGGAAGGCAAAUGGACCCUUGAUCAUGUUUUUGACCCAUGAAAUCACCAAAUCUAUCACAUUUACUUUUAUGUACAUGCAUGUGUCUAUAAUAUGAUGGGAACCGAGUUAAGGACAUGCCUAGUAUUGUUUACCUUA